GAAUGGUUGGACGAGAUAUAAGCUGUUUCAUUUAAAAUUUAUAUAGAAUUUUAUUUUUUAGUUAAAAAGCUAAAAUAUGAUCAAAAGACGAGAAGACCCUAUAAAUCUUAAUUAUUUAAUAAUUUUUAAUUUAUUUUGGUUUUUUUUGUUAUAAAUUUAUUAAAUAAUUUUAUUGGGGUGAUAUUAAAAUUUAAAUAACUUUUAAUAAUUUUUGUCAUUUAUUUAUGAUUAAGUGAUCCAUUAUUAGUGAUUAAAAAAUUAAGUUACUUUAGGGAUAACAGCGUAAUUUUUUUGGAGAGUUCUUAUCGAUAAAAAAGUUUGCGACCUCGAUGUUGGAUUAAGAUUCAUAUUUAAAUGUAGAAGUUUAAAUAUUAAGUCUGUUCGACUUUUUAUUCUUACAUGAUCUGAGUUCAAACCGGUGUAAGCCAGGUUGGUUUCUAUCUUUGAUUUAAUAAAAUAUUUUAGUACGAAAGGAAUUAAUAUUUAUUUUUAAGAAAUUAUUUUAUGAAUGAAUUUAAUUACUAU
Molecule: ribosomal RNA, 525 nt
Filed under: Teleopsis dalmanni
Lineage: Eukaryota; Metazoa; Arthropoda; Insecta; Diptera; Diopsidae
Description: partial 16S ribosomal RNA
Rfam family: Bacterial large subunit ribosomal RNA (bases 274-432)
Source: RNAcentral